This 577-nucleotide ribosomal RNA is filed under the name uncultured Anoxybacillus sp. Its description in RNAcentral is "bacterial SSU rRNA". It matches the Rfam family "Bacterial small subunit ribosomal RNA", at positions 348 to 916 of the family's 1533-position model. The record is from RNAcentral. Lineage: Bacteria; Bacillati; Bacillota; Bacilli; Caryophanales; Anoxybacillaceae.
GCAGCAGUAGGGAAUCUUCCGCAAUGGACGAAAGUCUGACGGAGCAACGCCGCGUGAGCGAAGAAGGUCUUCGGAUUGUAAAGCUCUGUUGUUAGGGGAGAACAAGUACCGCAGUAACUGGCGGUACCUUGACGGUACCUAACGAGAAAGCCACGGCUAGCUACGUGCCAGCAGCCGCGGUAAUACGUAGGUGGCAAGCGUUGUCCGGAAUUAUUGGGCGUAAAGCGCGCGCAGGCGGUCCUUUAAGUCUGAUGUGAAAGCCCACGGCUCAACCGUGGAGGGUCAUUGGAAACUGGGGGACUUGAGUGCAGAAGAGGAGAGCGGAAUUCCACGUGUAGCGGUGAAAUGCGUAGAGAUGUGGAGGAACACCAGUGGCGAAGGCGGCUCUCUGGUCUGUAACUGACGCUGAGGCGCGAAAGCGUGGGGAGCAAACAGGAUUAGAUACCCUGGCAGUCCACGCCGUAAACGAUGAGUGCUAAGUGUUAGAGGGGUUACACCCUUUAGUGCUGUAGCUAACGCAUUAAGCACUCCGCCUGGGGAGUACGCUCGCAAGAGUGAAACUCAAAGGAAUUGACGG